This 358-nucleotide unclassified non-coding RNA is filed under the name soil metagenome. RNAcentral describes it as "partial contains 5.8S ribosomal RNA, internal transcribed spacer 2, and large subunit ribosomal RNA". The stretch from base 1 to 120 matches the Rfam family "5.8S ribosomal RNA", at positions 35 to 154 of the family's 154-position model. The record is from RNAcentral.
GAUGAAGAACGCAGCGAAAUGCGAUAAGUAAUGUGAAUUGCAGAAUUCAGUGAAUCAUCGAAUCUUUGAACGCACAUUGCGCCCGUCAGUAUUCUGGCGGGCAUGCCUGUUCGAGCGUCAUUACGCCCCUCAAGUCCCCUGUGGACUUGGUGUUGGGGAUCGGCGAGGCUGGUUUUCCAGCACAGCCGUCCCUUAAAUUAACUGGCGGUCUCGCCGUGGCCCUCCUCUGCGCAGUAGUAAAACACUCGCAACAGGAGCCCGGCGCGGUCCACUGCCGUAAAACCGCCCAACUUUUUAUAGUUGACCUCGAAUCAGGUAGGACUACCCGCUGAACUUAAGCAUAUCAAUAAGCGGAGGA